This 1774-nucleotide long non-coding RNA is filed under the name Struthio camelus australis. RNAcentral describes it as "lncRNA (ENSSCUG00000008588.1)". Lineage: Eukaryota; Metazoa; Chordata; Aves; Struthioniformes; Struthionidae. The record is from RNAcentral.
CAUCAGUGGAAUUAUACGGAAAGUGUAUGAUGGACAAUCUCAUUUCUAUAUGUUUUAUGUCAAUCAAGAGAUGAAAAUGAUUGUAUCUCAGGCUCAUCUGACCUAUUUUAUAUGUCUAAAUUAGGAUGAGACGAAUCAUGCCCUAAAGUGCCUGGCUAUAAAAGGAGCCUAGGCUAAUUAGCUUAGAUGUAGACGUCUUUCUUGUAGACAUCUACAUGUAGUCAGAUGAAUAUCACUCUCUCUAAUUGUCUCUCUGUUGCCCCUUUUACAUCUGUCCUUCAGGUACACAUGGUCAGUGGAAAAUAUUCCCAUUUUGAAACCUAACCCAUCAUCAUCAGAACAACAGUGCCUCAUUUUCUUUAUCUCUUUUUCUUUUUUUUUUUGCACAAUCCUUACCUUCCUAUAUUAGAACAAAAUUGCUCAGAAAAGGGCCUUUUAUUAUUGAAAUACCACCUGUUGUGUAAAACUCUUCUGGCAAGCUUCUUCCAACACAGAGGGCAGAAUUCCUAUGUGCUAGCCAAGCAAAUCAUUUUAAGUGAACUGUAGUCUUUAGUAUGCACCUGUGCUUGGUAGUGGAGAGCAUUUCAGUACUGUACAUGCUGUGGUUUAGCUUGUCUGUACCUUCUUUAGUUGAAUUCUCACAUUAAGGAAGUGUGUCUUCCCAUAAUGGUAGAAUAGUUCUUCCCCUCCAUAGGUGUCACAUAAGAGUCUCCGUAGGAGAAUCAGUGAAAAAAUGCAUGUCUUCAUGGUUGAUAAUUUUUUUCUUUACAAUUUUGAAACUCACAUGAACCCAGUGAUUUUAUUCACUAUUUAUUUUUUUCAGAAAAAUAGGUAUGUCAGUAAUCACAAAAUACACAGUAUGUUUUAUUCAGAAAAAGUCCAGAUGAUUCUUCACUGGUACAACCACCAGUGAUUUCUUCAUCACUCUUUGUAGCAAGAACUCUGCACUCUUGUUUUUGGUGACCUAAGGAUAAACAUUGAGGACAAAAAAAGAUGUCGUGAUGGAGAAAUCUUCAGAAAAUGACUGAAACACCUUCUCUCUACAGUCUCACCAAUGUAAUUUACCUUGCAUGUGACUUGGCCUUAGUUAUCCUCCUUUAGUUUGUCCAGCAAUUUCACACUGCUGUGAAAAUUUCUUUUGGGAAGGUGUGCUCUAAAGGAACUCUAAAAAUUCUGCAAAUUAAUUUUUUACAAACAUCCUCUUUAGCACAUAAGUGUUCUGAGUAUUUUUUGUUUCCCAAAACUCAAUUUGUUCAAUUUUAUUAUGCUCUGGCUACUAUCACAAAGCAGCAACUAUGCCUUACCCCCUGCACCUGCUUAACUAAAAUAAUUAAAGAAGAGUCUGUGUUUCAUUUCGCUACUAGCUUUAUCUGGAUCCAUUCGCUUGCAAUUUUACAUGCUUUGUCUUAUGCUAUGGUGAGAUUAAUCCAUGGAACUUGGAGACAAUAAUCAGUUCAAAAUGAUUAAGGCGGUUUGAACUAGCUUUGACAUUUAUGCAUGUUGGCUAGAAAUGAAAAAUGUUACUGAGGGUAUCUUUAUAUCUCUAAUUUGUGAUUGUAUUAGUUGUACCAUUUUUGUUAUGAAUCUUUUGUCUUUUAAUUGUUCACAAACUGUUCAUUGAUAUCAUUCAAUAUUUGAAAUGUACAAAUUCACACUCCAUAUUUACACUGUAGUUCGAUAGAGAUACAUAAAACUCUACAAAUAGUUUUCACUAUGGAUAUCAUAUUUAUCCGUUCUAAAUAAACUUUCAACAAAUAGCCUUUUACUUUUUUUC